Molecule: transfer RNA, 523 nt
Filed under: Paracidovorax avenae
Lineage: Bacteria; Pseudomonadati; Pseudomonadota; Betaproteobacteria; Burkholderiales; Comamonadaceae
Description: partial 16S-23S ribosomal RNA intergenic spacer
Rfam family: tRNA (bases 7-80)
Source: RNAcentral
CGACAUGGGUCUGUAGCUCAGCUGGUUAGAGCACCGUCUUGAUAAGGCGGGGGUCGUUGGUUCGAGCCCAACUAGACCCACCAAAUCUUCCGAACAUAAGAUGCGAGGAUCAGUGGGGGAUUAGCUCAGCUGGGAGAGCACCUGCUUUGCAAGCAGGGGGUCGUCGGUUCGAUCCCGUCAUCCUCCACCAACCAAUAUGUCCUGCGGUAGGGCAAAGAAACUAACACCAAAGCGGCUUCGCAAGAGGCCUCUUUGUUGUUGGUCCGGUAUAGACCGGGUCAAUCGGCUGUUCUUUAAAAAUUCAUAGAGUCGAAUCAGCGUUGUCGGCGGAAAGCAGGAAACUGCACCGUGCCGUCGGCAACAAAAAUUUGAUUGCGUCAAAACGAAUAUUCAAUUGAGCGAAAGCUGAUUGAAGUUCAGUAAUGACGAAUUGUUCUCUAGGUAGCAAUACCGAAGAAGAAUUCACAUUACGGCAUAACGCGCGAGGUGAAAGACCUCGCAAGUCCUUGAAAGAAAGCGGAAA